AUUGCACAGACAACCAGGAUGUUGGCUUAGAAGCAGCCACUCAUUUAAAGAGUGCGUAAUAGCUCACUGGUCGAGUGAUCCUGCGCCGAAAAUUUCCGGGGCUAAAACGUACUACCGAAGCUACGGCAUCAUUUAUGAUGGGUAGGAGAGCUUCCCAUACGGGUUGAAGCAUGACCGUAAGGACAUGUGGACUGUAUGGGAGUGAGAAUGUUGGCAUGAGUAGCGAGAUGUGGGUGAGAAUCCCACAGGCCGUAAACCCAAGGUUUCCAGGGGAAGGUUCGUCCGCCCUGGGUUAGUCAGGACCUAAGCCGAGGCCGAAAGGCGUAGGUGAUGGACAACAGGUUGAUAUUCCUGUACCACCAAUAACCGUUUGAGAAAUGGGAUGACACAGUAGGAUAAGCUAACCGCACUGUUGGUUAUGUGCGGGCAAGUAUUGAGGCAGUUCCGAUAGGCAAAUCCGUCGGAAUAAUGCUGGGGUACGAUGCGGAGCGAAAUUUAGUAGCGAAGUAGCUGAUUUCACACUGUCGAGAAAAGUCUCUAUCGAGGUUAAAGGUGCCUGUACCGCAAACCGACACAGGUGGGUGAGGAGAGUAUCCUAAGGCCAGCGAGAGAACUGUUGUUAAGGAACUCGGCAAAAUGACCCCGUAACUUAGGGAGAAGGGGUGCCUUCGAAAGAAGGCCGCAGAGAAUAGGCCCAAGCGACUGUUUACCAAAAACAUAGGUUUCUGCUAAGUCGCAAGACGAUGUAUAGGAGCUGACGCCUGCCCGGUGCUGGAAGGUUAAGGGGAUCUGUUAGAGCAAUCGAAGCAGUGAACUUAAGCCCCAGUAAACGGCGGCCGUAACUAUAACGGUCCUAAGGUAGCGAAAUUCCUUGUCGGGUAAGUUCCGACCCGCACGAAAGGCGUAACGAUUUGGGCACUGUCUCAACAACAGACUCGGUGAAAUUGUAAUACCGGUGAAGAUGCCGGUUACCUGCGACAGGACGGAAAGACCCCAUGGAGCUUUACUGUAGCUUGACAUUGAGUCUCGGUGCUACAUGUACAGGAUAGGUGGGAGACUAUGAAGCAUGGACGUCAGUCUGUGUGGAGUCAUCCUUGGGAUACCACCCUUGUAGUACUGGGAUUCUAACCAGAGGCCAUGAAUCUGGUCUUGGGACACUGUCAGGUGGACAGUUUGACUGGGGCGGUCGCCUCCCAAAAAGUAACGGAGGCGCUCAAAGGUUCUCUCAGUACGGUCGGAAAUCGUACGAAGAGUGUAAAGGCAAAAGAGAGCUUGAUUGCAAGACAUACAGGUCGAGCAAGGACGAAAGUCGGACUUAGUGAUCCGGUGGUUCCGCAUGGAAGGGCCAUCGCUCAACGGAUAAAAGCUACCCUGGGGAUAACAGGCUGAUCUCCCCCAAGAGU
Molecule: ribosomal RNA, 1403 nt
Filed under: human gut metagenome
Description: bacterial LSU rRNA
Rfam family: Bacterial large subunit ribosomal RNA
Source: RNAcentral